GGAUAGCUCAGUCAGCAGAGCAUGAGACUCUUGAUCUCAGAUUCUUGCAUUGCAAGGGGUUGGACAAGAUCACCCUUGUGGUCCU
Podarcis lilfordi (Lilford's wall lizard) is the source of this 85-nucleotide non-coding RNA. The record is from the annotation of a GenBank genome assembly. Lineage: Eukaryota; Metazoa; Chordata; Lepidosauria; Squamata; Lacertidae.